UACGAAGGGAGCGAGCGUUGUUCGGAAUUACUGGGCGUAAAGCGCGUGUAGGCGGGCCGUUAAGUCGGGUGUGAAAGCCCAGAGCUCAACUCUGGGACUGCCUUCGAUACUGGCGGCCUGGAGCAUGAUAGAGGCGAGUGGAAUUGCGAGUGUAGAGGUGAAAUUCGUAGAUAUUCGCAGGAACACCAGUGGCGAAGGCGACUCGCUGGAUCAUUGCUGACGCUGAGACGCGAAAGCGUGGGGAGCAAACAGG
This 253-nucleotide ribosomal RNA is filed under the name uncultured bacterium. RNAcentral's name for it is "partial 16S ribosomal RNA". It matches the Rfam family "Bacterial small subunit ribosomal RNA", at positions 524 to 776 of the family's 1533-position model. The record is from RNAcentral.